Molecule: non-coding RNA, 621 nt
Organism: Arachis ipaensis
Lineage: Eukaryota; Viridiplantae; Streptophyta; Magnoliopsida; Fabales; Fabaceae
Source: RefSeq, a predicted model, not a curated record
UGUUCAGCAUUCGAGUGGCCGAUCACUUGAAUUGACUCCAGAGACAGGAGCACUGGUAUGUUCUGGGUUUAGGAUUUAAUUAUGACUGUACAAGGACAUUAGAUUCAUCACUCAAAUACCUUUUGCUUGUGCAAUUUAUUUUCUUCACUGGUGGUAUUGUGUUUUUAACACUUAUAGUGAAUGGUUCGACAACACAGUUCGUUUUACACUACCUUGACAUGGACAAGUUAACAGCUGUAAAGAAACGUAUCCUUGAUUUCACAAAGUAUGAAAUGUUGAACAAAGCACUAGAAGCUUUUGGUGAACUUGGAGAUGAUGAGGAACUUGGAGAAUUUUAACUGAUGCAAAGGACAAGAAUCUUGGAUGCUAUCAAGGCAACAGUGGGAGCUAAAACUAAAGUUAUUUACGAGAAGGUCCCAUCGAAAGACACCAUAAACAAUAGUGAGUUCUCAUUUGCAAUUGUAGCUGUUGGUGAACCUCCUUAUGCAGAGUCCUUGGGUGACAAUUCUGAGCUUAAAAUCUGCUUUAAUGGACCUGACAAUAUAAGUCUAAGUUUAUUUAUUUAUCUUGUCUUAAGUUUUUAUGUUAGAGGAUUAUUUAUUAUUUAAAAGUUUAUUUGUC